AACAAGAAAAACAUAAACGAAAA
Molecule: small nuclear RNA, 23 nt
Filed under: Arabidopsis thaliana (thale cress)
Lineage: Eukaryota; Viridiplantae; Streptophyta; Magnoliopsida; Brassicales; Brassicaceae
Description: snRNA_11905
Source: RNAcentral